CCGCGUGAGUGAAGAAGGCCUUCGGGUUGUAAAGCUCUUUUGUCAGGGAAGAAACACCGGCUCUAACACAGUCCGGGAAUGACGGUACCUGAAGAAUAAGCACCGGCUAACUACGUGCCAGCAGCCGCGGUAAUACGUAGGGUGCGAGCGUUAAUCGGAAUUACUGGGCGUAAAGCGUGCGCAGGCGGUUAUACAAGACAGGCGUGAAAUCCCCGGGCUUAACCUGGGAAUGGCGCCUGUGACUGUAUAGCUAGAGUGUGUCAGAGGGGGGUAGAAUUCCACGUGUAGCAGUGAAAUGCGUAGAUAUGUGGAGGAAUACCAAUGGCGAAGGCAGCCCCCUGGGAUAACACUGACGCUCAUGCACGAAAGCGUGGGGAGCAAACAGGAUUAGAUACCCUGGUAGUCCACGCCCUAAACGAUGCUGACUAGUUGUUCGGGAUUUACAUCCUGAGUAACGUAGCUAACGCGUGAAGUCAGCCGCCUGGGGAGUACGGUCGCAAGAUUAAAACUCAAAGGAAUUGACGGGGACCCGCACAAGCGGUGGAUGAUGUGGAUUAAUUCGAUGCAACGCGAAAAAGCUUAACUAACCUUGACAUGUCACUAACGAAGUAGAGAUACAUUAGGUGCUCGGUAAGAGAAAGUGAACA
Molecule: ribosomal RNA, 647 nt
Filed under: uncultured archaeon
Lineage: Archaea
Description: bacterial SSU rRNA
Rfam family: Bacterial small subunit ribosomal RNA
Source: RNAcentral